Long non-coding RNA from Magallana angulata, 1868 nucleotides. RefSeq lists it as uncharacterized. The transcript has 3 exons. Lineage: Eukaryota; Metazoa; Mollusca; Bivalvia; Ostreida; Ostreidae. The record is from RefSeq and is a predicted model, not a curated record.
UCUCCAUUGUUCAGCCGCCUCAGCUUUGGAAGAUGAUGGUGGCAGGGCGGCGGGGUCAUUUUGCCCCAUAUUGAUGAUGUCGGACAGACGGUAGCGAUCUGAUUCAUCACGAUGGACAUUCUUCUGUAUAAUGAAGGUAAACUUUUCAGCAUACUAUCUUCUGUCUCUGUACUUGGAGGCGCAUUUUGUGAUUUGACACUAGAAUAGUUACCCCUCUUGAAUUUUGACAUUGGCAAGAACUUGGCCUUUUCUAGAUUUAAUUUUCAAUAAUUUUACAAUUAAACAGUUCUGUUCAUUACCCCAGGUUUCUAGCUCUAAUAUAAUAUCAAAAUUAGGUCCUUUUUCGUUUGCUAGAAUAGUGUUAUAAAGAAAGAUAAGGGGGCACCUGCUAGUUCUGUAAGCUGCAUUACACUGGGGGGUGGUGAUAUUGUUCGCACAUGCUCAAUCAACAGGAAUGGCCUGAUUAGAAUUAUAUGGCUUAUUAGAAUCAAUAAUGGAUGAUUGUUCAUGAUAUGAACAUUUUUUACCAAUUUGUCAGUAUAAAGCAUGUAUAUUUUGAUUAAUUUACUAGGAUUUCAUCAAUUUCAGGAGGUUUUCUUAAAACCUGGGUAGAAUCUACCCUUAUUAGGAAAUUAAUAAAAUUUUGACAUUUUAUCAUAUAGAUAAUACCAAUACUCAAAAACAAGUAGUAAACAAACUAUUUUAUUGAUUCCAGGCACUAAUUAUAUACAAAUAUAUUCAGAGGUCUGAAUGUCAUUCACUCCCUGUAACGCCAGCAUCUGCAGCAUGAUGUCAUCAAUUGAGCUAGUGACAACAUCCAUGACAUUGAACUCAUGGGACUCAAAUUUCAUACAUAAACUCAGGUAGGUCUAAAGUCUUUAAAAAAUAGCAAAUGGACUAAUUCUGAGGUAGGUAAGAUUGUAAGUAUAGGAAUGAGAGUACCAAACCCCCGGAUGUUUACAUCAGAGAAAAAGUUAUAGAACGUUGUAAUAAGGAAUGAAUGGGUAGGCGUUAGGCGAUUGGCUGAAUUCAGGUAUGUGACAAUUCUCAUUUUGUAGUAAAAUUAUUAGUUUUUAAAAUAAAUGAUGGAAUGGGGGAAUAUUUUAAAGAAUAUAGCAACACUAGGAAAAAUUGUAGGGGUGGGGGUUGAUUUUUUAUGAAGAGUGACAUUUACUGCCGAUCGCUGUAAGUUGUAAACAACUGCAAAUUUGACCUAUAAACGCCACGGGACCCUAUAUUUUUUUUGUCAUUUCCUGAAAGGUCUUGAAUUGAAGAUUCAAAUGAUACCAAAGAUUUGACUGAAACUAUUAUAGUAAAGUACUGAGAGGUCAUAACAUUUGUAUGGAGUUCUAUGGGAAAAUAAUUGGUAGGCUUUUCCCAACAGCUGAUAGCGCUGUGUCAACAUUUUUAAAAGAAGCAUGGCCUGUAAGACGUCAAUAGUGGAAAUUUCAGCUCAACUAACGUAUGACAGAUUAUAAAGCUAUUUGUGGCCACAUGGUUUUAACCUGUUGAUUCUUUUCAGCUGUUGUGGUAAUAACCUGUCACCUCUACCCACAUGCAUAUUUCUUGUGUUCUACAGACUAUUUACCGCUAUUUGUGGCCACAUGGUUUUAACCUGUUGAUUCUUUAACCUGUUGAGGUUAACCUGUCACCUCUACCCACAUGCAUAUUUCUUGUGUUCUACAGACUAUUUACCGGUAAUUCAAAUUAAAUCGGAUAAUUCAUGAAAAGCUACUGUAAUGGAACUUUCAGAAAGCAUUAUGCCGUGUUGUGGUUUGUGUUUGAAAAGAAAUUAUAACAAACAAAAUUAAGGCUGUUUAAAGUAAUUUACAAUUGUUAACUGUGAAAGUGUGUUUUUCAAUAAAAGU